CCGCCCGCGACUCGGCGAGAAGUCCAUUGAACCUUAUCAUUUAGAGGAAGGAGAAGUCGUAACAAGGUUUCCGUAGGUGAACCUGCGGAAGGAUCAUUG
RNAcentral lists this ribosomal RNA (99 nucleotides) under Oncidium portmannii. RNAcentral describes it as "partial 18S ribosomal RNA". It matches the Rfam family "Eukaryotic small subunit ribosomal RNA", at positions 1733 to 1831 of the family's 1831-position model. Lineage: Eukaryota; Viridiplantae; Streptophyta; Magnoliopsida; Asparagales; Orchidaceae. The record is from RNAcentral. RNAcentral also lists the same sequence under 10 other names.